This 575-nucleotide ribosomal RNA is filed under the name uncultured bacterium. Its description in RNAcentral is "bacterial SSU rRNA". It matches the Rfam family "Bacterial small subunit ribosomal RNA", at positions 298 to 873 of the family's 1533-position model. The record is from RNAcentral.
GGAAGGUCGCCCGCGUUGGUACUGAGACACGGACCAAACUCAUACGGGAGGCAGCAGUGAGGAGUAUUGGUCAAUGGCCGAGAGGCUGAACCAGCCAAGUCGCGUGAAGGAUGAAGGAUCUAUGGUUUGUAAACUUCUUUUAUAGGGGAAUAAAGUGUGGGACGUGUCCCAUUUUGUAUGUACCCUAUGAAUAAGCAUCGGCUAACUCCGUGCCAGCAGCCGCGGUAAUACGGAGGAUGCGAGCGUUAUCCGGAUUUAUUGGGUUUAAAGGGUGCGUAGGUGGUAAUUUAAGUCAGCGGUGAAAGUUUGUGGCUCAACCAUAAAAUUGCCGUUGAAACUGGGUUACUUGAGUGUGUUUGAGGUAGGCGGAAUGCGUGGUGUAGCGGUGAAAUGCAUAGAUAUCACGCAGAACUCCAAUUGCGAAGGCAGCUUACUAAACCAUAACUGACACUGAAGCACGAAAGCGUGGGUAUCAAACAGGAUUAGAUACCCUGGUAGUCCACGCAGUAAACGAUGAUUACUAGGAGUUUGCGAUACACAGUAAGCUCUACAGCGAAAGCGUUAAGUAAUCCACC